UAGGCUACUGAAUACAGAAGUAGAUAGAAUGACCAAUCACAAAUGACUACUAUCCAGCCAAACGCAAUGCCCGUUAUUGUGUUACCUAGCAACAAAACCUAAACAAACCUGUGUAAUUUUCUCUACAUUUUGUGUGGUUAGUUCAGAAAUGUAUUAGAAAUGUUGUAGCUAACUAGCUAAGUGCCCUUGGUUAGUUAACUUGAGCGGGAAAAGUCGUUUUGUCAUUUUCACCCUAACCAGAUGCUCGUGCUAAAGGACAGUGCAAUGCCAGCCAUAUCAUCACUGCCAGAAAUACAAAAUAGGUUGGAAAAAGGAAACCACACCAUCCGUCACAUUAAUGUGGCAGAUUCCGUGGAGGCUGAUGUACUCCAGUUUUGAGAGGAUAUGUGUUUUCAUUGUUUCAUCAGCUGUCCCGGUGGCUGGUCCCAGAAGAUCCUGCAGGUGAAGAAGCCGGAUGUGGAGCUCCAGGGCUGGCGUGGUUACACAUGGUCUGCGGUAUGAGGCUGGUAGGACGUACCGCCAAAUUCUCUAAAACAACAUUGGAGGCGGUUUAUGAUAGAUAAAUUAACAUUAAAUUAUCUGGCAACAGCUCUGGUGGACAUUCCUGCAGUCAGCAUGCCAAUUGCAUGCUCCC
Oncorhynchus tshawytscha (Chinook salmon) is the source of this 634-nucleotide long non-coding RNA. RefSeq lists it as uncharacterized. The transcript is spliced from 4 exons. The record is from RefSeq and is a predicted model, not a curated record. Lineage: Eukaryota; Metazoa; Chordata; Actinopteri; Salmoniformes; Salmonidae.